This is a non-coding RNA of Dendrothele bispora CBS 962.96, 74 nucleotides long. The record is from the annotation of a GenBank genome assembly. Lineage: Eukaryota; Fungi; Basidiomycota; Agaricomycetes; Agaricales.
ACACCGAUUUGGCGAAGUGGUUAUUAUGCUUGCCUUUCAAGCAAGCUGCUCGGGUUCGAUUCCCGAACGGUGUA